CCCCUGUGUGUGUAGAGGAAGAAGGGAGCCUGGGGGACUGACCGCCUCUCCCUCCUUCCACU
This 62-nucleotide microRNA precursor is filed under the name Dasypus novemcinctus (nine-banded armadillo). Its description in RNAcentral is "miRNA (ENSDNOG00000046680.1)". Lineage: Eukaryota; Metazoa; Chordata; Mammalia; Cingulata; Dasypodidae. The record is from RNAcentral.